Acinonyx jubatus (cheetah) is the source of this 1816-nucleotide long non-coding RNA. RefSeq lists it as uncharacterized. The transcript has 3 exons. The record is from RefSeq and is a predicted model, not a curated record. NCBI's taxonomy places the organism in Eukaryota, Metazoa, Chordata, Mammalia, Carnivora, Felidae.
AAUUCUAUUUCUAUAUAGAUGGAGUAGUCCUAUGAAAUAUCCAAGUGAAGAUGAUGUUUAUCUUAAGUUAGGAGACAGAAGCAGGAAUUAGCUACACAAACAAGGCAGGAAAGGGCCUUCUAGGUAGAAGAAAUAGGGCACAUAAAGGAAUGAAUUACGAGAUCACAGGGCACUGCCUGCCCAACUAAGGAGAGGCUUGUGUAGAGGUAAGAGAAGUAAAGUUAUCAGGCGUCAAGGCUCAAGUGUAACUCAUGGAAACCACUGAAGAAUUUCAAACAAAGAAGCAAUUUGAUCAGAUUGUGAUCUUCAAAAGCCAGUUUUGAGGGUGGGGAGGAGGAAAUGUGUAAAGACUGAAGGGCUAACGUCUAAUUUUCACAGGAUGAACAUCAAAAUCAACUUUUCAAAGGAAACAGCUCAGACGUCCCAGCACAGCACUUACAGGUGACGUACCGUGGGGUCAGCAUAAGUAAUCCCCAAUUAGUCCACUUGUGCAAAGACAGCUGUCCUCACAAGCUACCUACAGAGCAUCUUCCCCACUCACUCUUCAUAUAGCAAACAGCAGCCACACAGCAGCAGCUCAUUAGACUCCAUGCCCAGCACAGAGCCCAACACACGGCUUGAACUCAUGACCCUGAGAUCAAGACCUGAGCUGAGAUCAAGAGUCUGACACUUAACCAACGGAACCACCCAGACGCCCCUAAAAAUUAUUAUUUUUUUAAUUGAAUCUGCUCUCUACAUCAUGUCAUCAGGGAAGUGUAAAUUCAAACAAUAAUGAGAUAUCUACCAUCACAUACUGAUUAUAAUGGGCAAAACCCAGUACAAUGACAAUGCCAAAUGCUGACAAAGGUGUGGAGCAAUAGGGAGUCUUGUUCACUGCCGGUGCGAACACAAUAUGGUGCAGCCGCUUGGAAAGACAGCUUGGUGGUUUCUUACCAAAUGAAGGAUACUCUUCCCUCUUACCCACCUCCAUGGAAUUUUCCCAAAAGAGCUAAAAAUUUAUUUCCUCACGAAGACAUGGAUGUUUAUAACAGCUUUGGUCAUGAUUGUCAAAAUCUGGAAGCAACCAAGUUGUCCUUCAGUAGCUGAAUGAAUCAGUGAGCUGUGGUCCAUCCAGACAUGGAAUAUUAUUCAACGAUAAAAAUACAUGAGCUAUUAGAGCACGAAACGACAUGGGAGAAACUUAAAUGCAUAUUAUUAAGUGAAAGAAGUCAACCUGAAGUGGAUAAGUACUAUACGAUUUCAUCUCUAGGACAUUCUAGAAAAGGCAAAAACAUGGAGAGAGUAAAAAGACCAGUGGUUUCCAGGAGGUGGGGGCAUGACAAGGGGUGAAUGGAUAGAGCACAUAGAGUAUGAUACUAUAACGAUGAAUACAUGUCAUCUUUAUUUGUCCAAAUACAUACAAUACACAGUAAACACCAAGAGUGAAGCAUAAUAUAAACUAUGGACUGGGUGCUAGUGAUGUGUCAAUGUCACAUCAGCUAUAACAAAUGUACCCCCCUCUGGUGGGUACAUGUUGAUCGUGGGGGAGAUUAUGCAUAUUUGGGGGCAAGGGGAUAUAUGGGAAAUCUCUGUAUCUUUCUCCCCACUUUUGCUGUUAACCUACAACUGCUCUAAAAAAAAGUCUUAAUUUUAAAACAUUGAGUCUACCAUGUUUCAUGCUUAGCCAGUUAUCGAUAGUAGUAUUUUCCAAAAAUUCAGCUAAACAUGGUUUUCUUCUGAUUAUUUUGGCCAAUGAGUGGAAAAAUAUCCAGCAGUCACAUGAAAAUCAUACCUGCUGAUUUAUAAACAUUGAACUCAUCUUAAACAGAUGCAUUUA